Odocoileus virginianus texanus is the source of this 2399-nucleotide non-coding RNA. The record is from RefSeq and is a predicted model, not a curated record. Lineage: Eukaryota; Metazoa; Chordata; Mammalia; Artiodactyla; Cervidae.
GUGUGUGUGUGUGUAUAUGUUAUGUAUAUAUCUGUAUCUUAAAUAGACAGUAAACGAGGGCCUACUGUAGUGCCGGAUAACUACUCACUCACAAUUACUAUGGCCCAAAAUCCAAAGAUAAUAUGGUCCUUGUAUAUGUGAUACUGAGUCUAGUUACUGAUGAUCUCAACAUGACACUGUUAGUUAAUUGUACUCUAGGAGAUGAUGAUAAGUGAAUUACUUUAGAAAUACCUCCUCUUUUCCAUUCAGGAAUACACAAUUCAAGAUGGGGUCAUAUCCUGGAACCAGAAGUGGCCAUGACUCCUCAAAAAAAAGUCGAUUCCCCUAAGUGGGGAGAAAGUUGACAACUUUCCAUGGAGGCCACAGCAGACCUUAAGUGCUUGGUCCCUGAAAAGAUGCCCAGUAUCUCCAGUGCUUAAGAGAGAGGCAGGUGAAAUCUCAAAUGAAGUAUCUUCUGGCACCUGUCCUCAAAGAGACGACACAGAAUAUCUGAUGGGGAGGGUGUGGAGAAAAGUGACUCCGAGGAAGGUAUUUGUGGAAAGCUGAGUGGCUCACAGCCAGUAUGCAGAGAAGUGACGAGGUCCUUAGGAAAGGAAAGGUGCAGCUCCCUAAAGCUCCGGCAGUCCCACUCCUGCUUGCAUGUGGGGAAAGAAAACCAUCCUUCGAAACACACACGUACACGCUCAUUUGGCCUUUGCCCAUCUUACCUGCAACAGGCAAGGCAUGGAAACUAUGAAAAUGCCCGGCAACAGAAGAAAGGGUAAAGAAGACGGGCCUCACAUAAACAACAGACUGCUACUCAGGCAGAAAAAAACCAAGCACACAUGAUAUCACAUAUACAUGGACACCCAGAUAGCACUGAACUCACACACCAAAAAAAUGUCAAACUGUUUUCAAAGGGGCAAGAUGGGGAGGGUGGAGAGGGAAACUACAAGCUCGAAGUUCACAGCUCCACACCGAUACACAUGUAUUUGUAUAUAUAUUUAAGAUAGAUGAUUUAGGAGACCCUACAGUGGAACACAGACAACUCUUUUCACUCUGCAAAUAACUGUCCCAAAGAAUCCAAGCAACAGUCAUUCCAUGUACAUUUGAACCUGAGUCCAGUUCCCAUUCAACUCAUACACGAUUCUGUAUAUUAAUCAUAAUCCAGGAGAAAAUAAAACUUGACUUCACUUUAGAGAUGCCUCCUCUUUUCCGUUCAGGCCUGGCUGGGCUGGGGUCAUACCUUGGAGCCCUGAGGUAGCUUGGAUCUCAAGUUUGACAGUGGUUGUUUCUAGGAUCAACCACCUUAAAACCUACGUUGAGAUUGAAGUCACUCAGUCGUGUCCGACUCUUUGCAACCUUGUGGACUGUAAAACCUAUGUUUCUGGGUGCUUAAUAAGCAAAAGGCUUGAAGGGUGUGAAAGACCACAGCUCUCAUGAAGUUCUGUAGGAGGUCACGGAAGAAAAAUUCAUAGAAGAGUCUGCUUGCCACAUGCCAAUUUCAAAAGAAGAAAGUUCACUUAACCUGUGUUUUUCUUUUUAAAGCAGCUGAGAAGAUGCUCAGCAUCUCCACUGCUUAGAGAAAUGCAAAUGAAAUCUACAACAAGGUAUCUCUGACAUAAAUCAUCAAAAAUCCUACAAACAAUACAUGAUGGAGAGGGCCUGGAGAAAAGGUACCCUGAGCAAGGUAUUUGUAGAAAGCUAAAUUGCUCAGAGCCAGUAUAGAGAGAAGUAGAGAAGCUAUUUGAGAAAAAACUACAGCUCUGUACAUUUGGCCAUGCACUCCUACUUUUAUGUCCAAAGAGAAGAUCAGCAGUGAAAAAUCACACACUCCCUCCCUUGGCCUUUUCCCAUCUACCUACAACGGGCAAGGCAUGCAAGCUAUUGUCCAGCGAUAGUGGAACAAACAAAGAUGAUGUAUGUAUACACCUUAUACAAAGAAGACACCAUGUGUACAACAGACUAUUACUCAGAAAACCAAAUUGCAACACACCAUUGACAACAGUAUGCAUGGACCCAGAGAAGACCUCACUAACUCAAGUAGGUCAGACAGAGGAAGACCAAGCUGAUGAAAUCACUUCUAGGUGGAAACUAGAACCAAACUGAAAUAAUUCACAGGGAAAUGUAAACACUCACCCUCAGACAAAAAAUUCAGAGUUUCUGGUGGAGCAUGAUGGCGAGGUUGGAGAGAAAAAUAAUGAGGUUACCCUGAACUGGUACACGCUAAUGUAAAUAGACAAUUAAUGAGGCCCUACUGCAUAGCACAGACAACUCUACUCACUCUACAAACACUGUCACAAGAGAAUCAAAAGAAAAAUCGGUCCUUGUUUAUGUGAACUUGAAUCCAGGUCCUACUGAACUCAAAGACAGUACUGUAAAUUGAGCAUACUCCAGGAGAGAAUAAAAAUUCAAUGUAA